This 216-nucleotide long non-coding RNA is filed under the name Mytilus galloprovincialis (Mediterranean mussel). Lineage: Eukaryota; Metazoa; Mollusca; Bivalvia; Mytilida; Mytilidae. The record is from RNAcentral.
AUGAGACAGCUGUCCACAAGAGACCAAAAUGACACAGACAUUAACAACUAUAGGUCACCGUACGGCCUUCAACAAUGAGCAAAGACCAUACCGCAUAGUCAGCUAUAAAAGGCCCCGAUAAGAAAAUGUAAAACAAUUCAAACGAGAAAACUAACGGCCUUAUUUAUAUAAAAAAAAAUGAACGAAAAACAAAUAUGUAACACAUAAACAAACGAC